GUUGUAUAGCAUGACAUUUGAGCCACCUUUGAGCACCUAAUUUUGUUUCAUAGGUGAGCAAUGUCGAUGGCCUAGAUUUAGCUGCCCAAUUGCAUGACCAAUAAGGAUCAAUCAUGUAGAGAAAAGGACAUAUAUGCCAACUUUGAGCACCUAAUUUUGUUUCAUAUGCGAGCAAUGCCGAUUGCCUUGAUCUAGCUGCCCAAUGGCAUGACCAGCUAGUUUCAAGCAUCUACAGAAACAGUAAGUUAUUGCCUUUAUCAACAAGAGAGGAAGAGGAAGAGGAAGAGGAAGAAGAAGAAGAAGAACCGGACGACUGCUGAGUAUAAGAGGUCUAGGUUAUCGAGGAACUGGACGACUGCUAACCGGGCUUAUGGUGGAGUUCUUUCUGGUGGUGCUGUAAGGAAAAGCAACGGUGGAGGAGGAUUAGGCCUUGGAUGGCCUAAAGGCAGUGCAUCCAAGAUGCUCGAUCAACAUCAAUGUAUAUCAUUUCUGCAAGGAUUUCAAGUAUGACCCCAAUACAUUAAGAGAGGAGAUAGAGAAACAGAAAGCUCAUGAGCGAUAUAUGAAAUUGCAAGAACAGGGGAAAACAGAACAAGCUAAGAAAAAUUUAGGUAACUCUUUACUCUGUGGGCCUCCUCUUUCAACCAAGUGUUCCUAGGAUGAAACUAAUUCUAAAGUAACACCAAAUGGUGGUAACCAAAAGGGAAGAGGAGUUGAGUCAUUCUCGUUCUGGAUUAGCAUGGUAGCUGGGUUUAUUGUUGCAUUUUGGGGAGUUUGUGGUACAUUGAUUAUCAAAACAUCAUGGAGACAAGCUUACUUUCGCAGCUUUGAUAAUUUGAAAGACAAGAUUGCUAUUUUUGUUAUGGUCAAAAUUGUUUGCUUACUAAGGAAGGUCAAGUCAGAGAGAAAUUGAAGCUGCGGGCUUAGGAGCUUUUCUUAAUAUGUAUAAUUUAUGUAUUGUAAGUUGUUCAGGUUGUUGUAAUAAUGUGUGAUCCAAAAUGCUUCAAUCUUCACUAGUCAAGGUCAUAUAUAUGAAUAA
Molecule: non-coding RNA, 1039 nt
Organism: Corylus avellana
Lineage: Eukaryota; Viridiplantae; Streptophyta; Magnoliopsida; Fagales; Betulaceae
Source: RefSeq, a predicted model, not a curated record